GAAGUACUCCCUCCAUCCAAAAAAGCUUGUCCCUCAAAUGGAUGUAUCUAGCAUCAAUUUAGCGCUAGAUACAUCCAUUCGGGGGACAAGCUUGGGACAAGCUUUUUCAGACGGAGGGAGUAGCAG
Triticum aestivum (bread wheat) is the source of this 126-nucleotide non-coding RNA. The record is from Rfam. NCBI's taxonomy places the organism in Eukaryota, Viridiplantae, Streptophyta, Magnoliopsida, Poales, Poaceae.